AACGAACGCUGGCGGCAUGCCUAACACAUGCAAGUCGAACGAGACCUUCGGGUCUAGUGGCGCACGGGUGCGUAACGCGUGGGAACCUGCCCUUAGGUUCGGAAUAACUCCCCGAAAGGGGUGCUAAUACCGGAUAAUGUCUUCGGACCAAAGAUUUAUCGCCUUUGGAUGGGCCCGCGUUGGAUUAGCUAGUUGGUAGGGUAAAAGCCUACCAAGGCGACGAUCCAUAGAUGGUCUGAGAGGAUGAUCAGCCACACUGGGACUGAGACACGGCCCAGACUCCUACGCAAGGCAGCAGUGGGGAAUAUUGGACAAUGGGCGAAAGCCUGAUCCAGCAAUGCCGCGUGAGUGAUGAAGGACUUAGGGUUGUAAAGCUCUUUUACACGGGAUGAUAAUGACAGUACCGGGAGAAUAAGCUCCGGCUAACUCCGUG
This 433-nucleotide ribosomal RNA is filed under the name uncultured bacterium. RNAcentral's name for it is "partial 16S ribosomal RNA". It matches the Rfam family "Bacterial small subunit ribosomal RNA", at positions 29 to 507 of the family's 1533-position model. The record is from RNAcentral.